Prunus avium (sweet cherry) is the source of this 359-nucleotide long non-coding RNA. RefSeq lists it as uncharacterized. The record is from RefSeq and is a predicted model, not a curated record. NCBI's taxonomy places the organism in Eukaryota, Viridiplantae, Streptophyta, Magnoliopsida, Rosales, Rosaceae.
GGCAUGCCGAUCCAUUCCCUGCCACGGAGAUGCUACACCUUAGACAUAUAUACAUAUGACACAAGAGUUACAGGUCAAAACCACGAGCACAGCCCCACCAGUAAUAUCAGACAGAGUUCAAUGCCUGGAGGGCUUCUCGAGGUACACCAUCUACCCAAACGUGAGGUGAAUGCAUGAUGGCCUAUGUUUGUAGUAAAGUUUGGUUCUCUUAGGUGAUGCUUGAGGAGAAAAACUUACACUACUACAAUAUCAGGUUUUGGGCACCAAUAUUAUUUGUGCUCUUUAGUGUAAAAGGCACAAUUAUUCGUGCUCUUCGUUAACAGCCACGGUGCAACCACAAUAAAUUGAUCGGUUUCCUA